CCUACGGGAGGCAGCAGUGGGGAAUUUUGGACAAUGGGCGCAAGCCUGAUCCAGCAAUGCCGCGUGAGUGAAGAAGGCCUUCGGGUUGUAAAGCUCUUUUGUCAGGGAAGAAACGGUGGGAGCUAAUAUCUCCCACUAAUGACGGUACCUGAAGAAUAAGCACCGGCUAACUACGUGCCAGCAGCCGCGGUAAUACGUAGGGUGCAAGCGUUAAUCGGAAUUACUGGGCGUAAAGCGUGCGCAGGCGGUUUUGUAAGUCUGUCGUGAAAGCCCCGGGCUCAACCUGGGAAUUGCGAUGGAGACUGCAAGGCUUGAAUCUGGCAGAGGGGGGUAGAAUUCCACGUGUAGCAGUGAAAUGCGUAGAGAUGUGGAGGAACACCGAUGGCGAAGGCAGCCCCCUGGGUCAAGAUUGACGCUCAUGCACGAAAGCGUGGGGAGCAAACAGGAUUAGAUACCCUGGUAGUCCACGCCCUAAACGAUGUCUACUAGUUGUCGGGUUUUAAUUAACUUGGUAACGCAGCUAACGCGUGAAGUAGACCGCCUGGGGAGUACGGUCGCAAGAUUAAAACUCAAAAGGAAUUGACGG
This 586-nucleotide ribosomal RNA is filed under the name uncultured bacterium. RNAcentral's name for it is "bacterial SSU rRNA". It matches the Rfam family "Bacterial small subunit ribosomal RNA", at positions 338 to 916 of the family's 1533-position model. The record is from RNAcentral.